UGGGGAAUUUUGGACAAUGGGCGAAAGCCUGAUCCAGCAAUGCCGCGUGUGUGAAGAAGGCCUUCGGGUUGUAAAGCACUUUUGUCCGGAAAGAAAUCCUUGGCUCUAAUACAGUCGGGGGAUGACGGUACCGGAAGAAUAAGCACCGGCUAACUACGUGCCAGCAGCCGCGGUAAUACGUAGGGUGCAAGCGUUAAUCGGAAUUACUGGGCGUAAAGCGUGCGCAGGCGGUUUGCUAAGACCGAUGUGAAAUCCCCGGGCUAACCUGGGAACUGCAUUGGUGACUGGCAGGCUAGAGUAUGGCAGAGGGGGGUAGAAUUCCACGUGUAGCAGUGAAAUGCGUAGAGAUGUGGAGGAAUACCGAUGGCGAAGGCAGCCCCCUGGGCCAAUACUGACGCUCAUGCACGAAAGCGUGGGGAGCAAACAGGAUUAGAUACCCUGGUAGUCCACGCCCUAAACGAUGUCAACUAGUUGUUGGGGAUUCAUUUCCUUAGUAACGUAGCUAACGCGUGAAGUUGACCGCCUGGGGAGUACGGUCGCAAGAUUAAAACUCAAAUGAAUUGAC
This 565-nucleotide ribosomal RNA is filed under the name uncultured bacterium. RNAcentral describes it as "partial 16S ribosomal RNA". It matches the Rfam family "Bacterial small subunit ribosomal RNA", at positions 355 to 914 of the family's 1533-position model. The record is from RNAcentral.